GAGGAAGUGCAGCAGAAAGGCUGGUUAAUGAAGACACCCUCAAGCCAUCAGCAAGGGAGUCCUAAGCUCCAGACGCACUGGGAAUUCACCUCCAAGCCUACACUUCUGGCCUCUUCCCACGCUCCCUCAGCUGCCUCUGGCCUUUGGAAUGUUACCAGAAUCCAGACCUGCCUCAACCCAGCCUCUUCCGAAAGUCUCAUUCAUGACAUAAUCACUUCUCGUCUCACUUAUUGCAAUCCGUCUUUAAUAGCCUUCCAUCCCUGCUUUGUCGUGCUGCAACUGGCAUGCUCUGUUACUGCAGGAAGUUGGGCCGUUUCAUCACCAUCCUCCAUUGAUCUGCCUUAGCUUCCUGUCCAUCUCUUGCUCCAGUUUAGAAUGAGAUUUCCUGGCUUUCAAAACUCUUCGGAUUCACUUCACCCCUCCUCUCUGGCCCUGACUACAACCACUCCCUCUGCUUCUCUGAUUUCCAUCCAGCUUCUCCAAUUCACUCUUCCAAGACCCAUCCACCUACUUCCCCAAUCCAUGCCUCCAACAUCCAUUCAGAUAAGAAUUUUGGCCCAACCUCAUCUCUUACCAAAAACCACCAAAGCAUUCUGUUUGUUUGUUUUUUAAGACUGGUGCUGAGCACCUACCCUCAGAAAAUUAGGCCCCUUUUGUGGUGUAUC
Long non-coding RNA from Dermochelys coriacea (leatherback sea turtle), 665 nucleotides. RefSeq lists it as uncharacterized. The record is from RefSeq and is a predicted model, not a curated record. The transcript has 2 exons. Lineage: Eukaryota; Metazoa; Chordata; Testudines; Dermochelyidae.